This 433-nucleotide ribosomal RNA is filed under the name uncultured bacterium. RNAcentral describes it as "partial 16S ribosomal RNA". It matches the Rfam family "Bacterial small subunit ribosomal RNA", at positions 29 to 507 of the family's 1533-position model. The record is from RNAcentral.
AACGAACGCUGGCGGCAGGCCUAACACAUGCAAGUCGAGCGAGGACUUCGGUUCUAGCGGCGGACGGGUGAGUAACGCGUGGGAAUGUGCCCUUCUCUACGGAAUAGUCCUGGGAAACUGGGAGUAAUACCGUAUACGCCCUUUUGGGGAAAGAUUUAUCGGAGAAGGAUCAGCCCGCGUUGGAUUAGGUAGUUGGUGGGGUAAUGGCCUACCAAGCCGACGAUCCAUAGCUGGUUUGAGAGGAUGAUCAGCCACACUGGGACUGAGACACGGCCCAGACUCCUACGGGAGGCAGCAGUAGAGAAUCUUAGACAAUGGGGGCAACCCUGAUCUAGCCAUGCCGCGUGAGUGAUGAAGGCCUUAGGGUUGUAAAGCUCUUUCAGCUGGGAAGAUAAUGACGGUAACAGCAGAAGAAGCCCCGGCUAACUCCGUG